RNAcentral lists this ribosomal RNA (573 nucleotides) under Fusarium commune. RNAcentral describes it as "SSU rRNA". It matches the Rfam family "Bacterial small subunit ribosomal RNA", at positions 391 to 922 of the family's 1533-position model. Lineage: Eukaryota; Fungi; Ascomycota; Sordariomycetes; Hypocreales; Nectriaceae. The record is from RNAcentral.
GUGAGGGCGAGUUAUAUAACACCAUAGGACUGGCCGUCCCAUAUGAAAAGAUUAUAUUAGAAUUGAAUGAAGCUUUGUUUAUAUAUUGAUAAUGACAGUAUAUAUAUCGUGUCUUGACUAAUUGCGUGCCAGCAGUCGCGGUAAUACGUAAGAGACUAGUGUUAUUCAUCUUAAUUAGGUUUAAAGGGUACCCAGACGGUCAAUAUAGCUUAUAAAAUGUUAUUACUUGACUAGAGUUUUAUGUAAGAGGGCAGUACUUGAGGAGGAGAGAUGAAAUUUCGUGAUACCAAAGGGACUCUGUAAAGGCGAAGGCAGCCCUCUAUGUAAAAACUGACGUUGAAGGACGAAGGCACAGAGAACAAACAGGAUUAGAUACCCAAGUAGUCUUUGCAGUAAAUGAUGAAUGCCAUAGGUCAGAUAACCAGUUAAUGUUUAUAGCAAAAAAGGGUUAGCCUAGCAAACUAAUGACAUAGACUAUCCAUUAAAAAUAUUUGGUCUAUAAAUGAAAGUGUAAGCAUUUCACCUCAAGAGUAAUGUGGCAACGCAGGAACUGAAAUCACUAGACCGUUUCUG